This is a long non-coding RNA of Lycium barbarum (goji berry), 1359 nucleotides long. RefSeq lists it as uncharacterized. The record is from RefSeq and is a predicted model, not a curated record. The transcript has 3 exons. Lineage: Eukaryota; Viridiplantae; Streptophyta; Magnoliopsida; Solanales; Solanaceae.
AACAACCUUUUACCCCUCCCCUCUUCCCAAACCCUAGCCACCAGGAGAGGAUUUCCUCUCUCCUCAUCACCACUACCAGUUUUUGGCAAAUUUGCAGGCAAGAAUAGGCUUUUGCCAGGCCUGUGUGACCACAUGAGGCAAAUCAUUUAUUGCUUCUGCCAUUUUUCACCAAACUCAACCCCAAACACGGUGUAUUUCUUCAUCUCUCUCUCUAUUUCUUUUACUUUUUUGUGUAUCAACGGUCAAAUGGACUGAAUUUCUUAAUGGGUUUUGUUGUUACUCGAAUUUGAAUCCAGAAUUUCAGCGGUUCAUGAAGAACCAAGUAGAUUGAUCGAUUGAGGGCACAAUCUGACUUUUUAUUUGUUUCCUACAUUUAAUCUCAACCCUUCAAUGCUUGAAUGUGAGGAAGAAGUUCAAAAUUUGUGACUUGUCCCAUAUCGGCUGAAAUUAGGGUUUUACUUCAAUUUGGGGGGCUAUAAAUGGAACCCCAAUUCACGGUUUUAAGAAACCGGCAAACGGAAUAUCUCACAUAUUCACAAAAAUCCGAAAAUACCUAGGGUUUCCAGCAAUUUGCUUAAGAUCUUUAAUUUUGUUCGGGUUAAGUUAAAUUUUAAAGUUUUAAUUGUUGUUUUCUUGUUAAUUGUGGCUGAGUAUUGGAAUUAAGGAGGCAACAAAGCUCUUCGAAAGUUCAAACUCGAUCUAAGGCUGCGCCUACAAGAGUUAUAAAAGCAUUGCAUUGCUGAUAAACAAUUCAAAAAGAGGAUUAUGAAGUUGGAAUUCUAUCUCCAAGAGGCUCGAACUCAAUUUCGCAAGCUCCAAAGGUAAUUCCUUGUAUAUACGGUGGAAACCGAGGUAAAUGUCGAGGUCAUAUGGUACACGGCCGAAGUAGAACGAGAUCAUUAGCCUCGGGUAAGAUCGAAGGGGUCGAGGACCGAGGAGUUGUGAGCUUUCCCAACUAAACGUCAGAAAUCGAGGGAAUGCUAAUAGGAGGAGAGACUUCGAAGACCGAGGGAAAGACGCUUGACACAGGUUCGACGGAUCUGUUACGGGCCAGGUCGCACCCCGCCAUUCGCGCCAUAAUUUGCGCUGACAUCCGUAUGGAGUCUCUGACAUCCGUACGGAGCACCGUUUUUAUGAAUUUUAGGAUUUUCUUAAAGGGCCUUUUUAGGUUUGUACAAAGGCCCAUCUACUGUUCACUAUAAAUAGGGAUGGACCUCCUUUAUUUAAGGGCUAGUCUUUUAUACACACUCACACUUGUAAUAUGAAAAAUAUAUAUUGAAACUUUCUAUUGGUUUGGCUCGGGGCAGAGGCAGUUCUUUCCAAAACCGGACCAAAUUCAGAGAGACUAAUAUCUUGAUC